This 319-nucleotide ribosomal RNA is filed under the name uncultured bacterium. RNAcentral describes it as "bacterial SSU rRNA". It matches the Rfam family "Bacterial small subunit ribosomal RNA", at positions 28 to 334 of the family's 1533-position model. The record is from RNAcentral.
GACGAACGCUGGCGGCGUGCUUAACACAUGCAAGUCGAACGAGAGAUCCGAAGUGCUUGCACUUUGGUGAUCUAGUGGCGAACGGGUGAGGAACACGUGAGCAACCUGUCUUACGGUGGGGGAUAGCCGGUCCAACGACCGGGUAAUACCGCGUAAUGCAUUUGACCACAUGGUCAACUGUGAAAGCGGCCUUCGGGUCGCGCCGGAAGAGUGGCUCGCGUCCUAUCAGCUUGUUGGUGAGGUAACGGCUCACCAAGGCUACGACGGGUAGCUGGUCUGAGAGGAUGAUCAGCCACAUUGGGACUGAGAUACGGCCCAG